Molecule: ribosomal RNA, 701 nt
Filed under: Indosylvirana temporalis
Lineage: Eukaryota; Metazoa; Chordata; Amphibia; Anura; Ranidae
Description: partial 16S ribosomal RNA
Rfam family: Bacterial large subunit ribosomal RNA
Source: RNAcentral
GGCGGACUAAGAGGUCAGCCUGCCCAGUGAUAAAAUUCAACGGCCGCGGUAUCCUAACCGUGCGAAGGUAGCAUAAUCACUUGUCCCCUAAAUAGGGACUAGAAUCAACGGCACCACGAAGGCUGUACUGUCUCUUUUCUCUAAUCAGUGAAACUGAUCUCCCCGUGAAAAAGCGGGAAUUAAUUUAUAAGACGAGAAGACCCCAUGGAGCUUUAAGUAAUGUAUUCACCCAGACUCUACUACACCAACUAAACAUAGCAGCCUUGAUUACUAACCUUAGGUUGGGAGGACCGCGGAGCAUAACUAAACCUCCACAACAAAAAGGUAACACCUUUAUCUACGAGUUACAACUCUAAGAAUUAAAACAUUAAUGUCCAAUGACCCGACAAUUCGAUCAAUGAACCAAGUUACCCUGGGGAUAACAGCACAAUCUGCUUAAAGAGCCCGUAUCGACAAGCAGGUUUAUGACCUCGAUGUUGGAUCAGGGUGUCCCAGUGGUGCAGCCGCUACUAUAGGUUUGUUUGUUCAACAAUUAAAACCCUACGUGAUCUGAGUUCAGACCGGAGAUCGGCUGUUUUGUUCUAAACAUAUACGUGGUCUGAGUUCUUGACAAGGACACGCCGCGUUUAUUUAAAAAAAUAUAUUCGAGAUAAGUUUCAAGCACGGAGGCGCGUGUGUUGUAUAAAAGAAACUGGAGUAGA